This is a long non-coding RNA of Solanum dulcamara, 663 nucleotides long. RefSeq lists it as uncharacterized. The record is from RefSeq and is a predicted model, not a curated record. The transcript is spliced from 2 exons. NCBI's taxonomy places the organism in Eukaryota, Viridiplantae, Streptophyta, Magnoliopsida, Solanales, Solanaceae.
UUAUAUAAACGCAGUUCUGCUUCAUAUCUGGGGGUUUGUUCGAAAAUAUACUAAUUUUACCCUGUAAGAAAGAAAAAAACUUUCAAAUUACCAAAGUUCUUGUCAAGAAACAAAGUUUUUUCUAUUCGAAAAAGGCUUAGUAGUUUCGAUUCGUUCUUGAGUUUCUCAGUGAGGUUUUAGUUGUGGUUGGAAGCCGUUCCAACUCGUCUUUGUACCAAAAGCUCCCCGGAAAAAGAUAUAUUUUUCUAUGAUACAUGUAAAUUUCAUCCGAGUCCAAAUCUGGACUCAUUUCCCCUUUGCAUUUUCGAUGGGACAUGGAGGGCUAAUUGCAAUUUUUCAAGUUUGUUCGUCAAGCCUUGGAUAUUUUCGAGAAAUGGGAGUUGAUAUCCAAGGAAAAGGAAAGCAAUAUUACAAGUUGCGGAGGCUGAAAAUGAAUUGUAUACACUUAUAUACAAUCUGCUAUAUAGGAAAACAGGGUCAUAUACAUUGAUAUACAACAGUGAUAUACAACAAAGUUGGGCUAAAAAUACAGAUUGCUCAGCAGCUUAGUCCAAACGUAUAGAAACUAAGUAUUAUAUCAGAUUUUUAUUUUGUUUAGAGUUUUGGGCCAAAAUCCAAAGCCUUUUUGAGUUAUUAUUAUUUAAUUUUAUCCGGGUUGUAAUA